GACGAACGCUGGCGGCGUGCUUAACACAUGCAAGUCGAGCGGUAAGGCCCUUUCGGGGGUACGACGAGCGGCGAACGGGUGAGUAACACGUGGGUGACCUGCCCUCAGCUCUGGGAUAAGCCUGGGAAACCGGGUACUAAUACUGGAUAUGACUCCAUGACGCAUGUUGUGGGGUGGAAAGCCUUGUGCGGCUGAGGAUGGGCCCGCGGCCUAUCAGCUUGUUGGGUGGGGUGAGGCCUACCAAGGCGACGACGGGUAGCCGGCCUGAGAGGGCGACCGGCCACACUGGGACUGAGACACGGCCCAGACUCCUACGGGAGGCAGCAGUGGGGAAGUCUUGCGCAAUGGGCGAAAG
This 355-nucleotide ribosomal RNA is filed under the name uncultured bacterium. RNAcentral describes it as "bacterial SSU rRNA". It matches the Rfam family "Bacterial small subunit ribosomal RNA", at positions 28 to 381 of the family's 1533-position model. The record is from RNAcentral.